CAACUUUUAACAACGGAUCUCUUGGCUCUCGCAUCGAUGAAGAACGCAGCGAAAUGCGAUAAGUAAUGUGAAUUGCAGAAUUCAGUGAAUCAUCGAAUUUUUGAACGCACCUUGCGCUCUCUGGUAUUCCGGGGAGCACACCUGUUCGAGUGUCAUUA
RNAcentral lists this ribosomal RNA (158 nucleotides) under Hydnum minospororufescens. RNAcentral describes it as "5.8S ribosomal RNA". It matches the Rfam family "5.8S ribosomal RNA". Rfam says of the family: 5.8S ribosomal RNA (5.8S rRNA) is a component of the large subunit of the eukaryotic ribosome. It is transcribed by RNA polymerase I as part of the 45S precursor that also contains 18S and 28S rRNA. Lineage: Eukaryota; Fungi; Basidiomycota; Agaricomycetes; Cantharellales; Hydnaceae. The record is from RNAcentral.